UACAGAGGGUGCGAGCGUUGUUCGGAAUUAUUGGGCGUAAAGGGCGCGUAGGCGGCGCCACAAGUCACUUGUGAAAACUCUGGGCUCAACUCAGAGCCUGCAAGCGAAACUGUGGUGCUGGAGUAUGGGAGAGGUGCGUGGAAUUCCCGGUGUAGCGGUGAAAUGCGCAGAUAUCAGGAAGAACACCCGUGGCGAAGGCGGCUCUCUGGGACGGUACUGACGCUGAGACGCGAAAGCGUGGGGAGCGAACAGG
RNAcentral lists this ribosomal RNA (253 nucleotides) under uncultured bacterium. Its description in RNAcentral is "partial 16S ribosomal RNA". It matches the Rfam family "Bacterial small subunit ribosomal RNA", at positions 524 to 776 of the family's 1533-position model. The record is from RNAcentral.